UUCUCAACAACGAGUGUGCUAACUAGAUUGCCCGUGACAAUAUUUUAGGAGUCGCGUGGAUUGUCUGCUAUGUGCUACGCUACAAGAGAGCAAACAAGUGUUUAUACUAUUUGGGAAAUGGGAAGGUAAGGUAAAAGUCAAACAGUCCAAUCUCCGUCCAUUCUCAUUGGAAUUUCAUUUUCAAAGAUUGGAUCAGUGGAAAGUGGAUAUUCUUGCAUACUGCAUAGUGGUGCGUUGGACUUUCACAUGUCAGACUCAUGCAUAGCUCGACUUAGCUAAACAAAGAAGCAGGCAAAUUUUUUCCCUGUAUCAAACUUGACAGGACAUGUAAAUGAAGAAAUGUUGUUGGACUAGUCACAAUAUUAAAAUUUGGAGUAUUUGGUAUUUUA
Molecule: long non-coding RNA, 389 nt
Filed under: Daphnia magna
Lineage: Eukaryota; Metazoa; Arthropoda; Branchiopoda; Diplostraca; Daphniidae
Description: uncharacterized LOC123477453
Source: RNAcentral